RNAcentral lists this ribosomal RNA (496 nucleotides) under uncultured bacterium. Its description in RNAcentral is "partial 16S ribosomal RNA". It matches the Rfam family "Bacterial small subunit ribosomal RNA", at positions 28 to 506 of the family's 1533-position model. The record is from RNAcentral.
GAUGAACGCUGGCGGCGUGCCUAAUACAUGCAAGUCGAGCGAACGGACGAGAAGCUUGCUUCUCUGAUGUUAGCGGCGGACGGGUGAGUAACACGUGGAUAACCUACCUAUAAGACUGGGAUAACUUCGGGAAACCGGAGCUAAUACCGGAUAAUAUUUUGAACCGCAUGGUUCAAAAGUGAAAGACGGUCUUGCUGUCACUUAUAGAUGGAUCCGCGCUGCAUUAGCUAGUUGGUAAGGUAACGGCUUACCAAGGCAACGAUGCAUAGCCGACCUGAGAGGAAGAUCGGCCACACUGGAACUAAGACACGAUCCAAAAUCCAACGGGAGGCAGCAGUAGGUAAUCUACAGAAAUGAGCGAAAGCCUGACGGAGCAACGCCGCGAUAUUGAGGAAGUUCUACGAAUCGUAAAACUAUCUUAUUAGAGAAGAACAAAUGUGUAAAUAACGAUGCACAUCUGGACGAAACCUAAACAGAAAGCCACGGCAAAUUAAGG